This is a long non-coding RNA of Stylophora pistillata, 968 nucleotides long. RefSeq lists it as uncharacterized. The record is from RefSeq and is a predicted model, not a curated record. NCBI's taxonomy places the organism in Eukaryota, Metazoa, Cnidaria, Anthozoa, Scleractinia, Pocilloporidae.
GUAAUGUUUUCGAUGAAUUGUGAGUUUCUUGUUCUGACUUGAGAAAAUAAAUGAAAAGUUUUUUUUAUUGUAGAAUCGUUUUUGUGGUAUUUCGCGCGCGCCAAUCUAUGGCGUUCCAUUUAAGUCAAAACAAACUUUUCAAAUUUUCAAAACUUAUAGUCUGAGCGUAUGUGGAGAGAUGUAUGCGGGCCAUGCGUAAACCUCACUUGAUAGUGGAUGAAAUUUUGACUUCAAGAUUCACUUAAAGAUGAAUCUUCUCCGAUUCUGUCCAUAGGUUUAUUAGCUGGAAUAUUUAUAGUGGCAACAGGCUAUAUUUGGCUAAGGAGAACAAGUGUUAUAUUCCUGGUGUUGGGUGUUGAAUUUUCUGGUUUAAAUGCUAUUGGUUACGCUGUCGAUCAUUUGGACAUUGCCCCACCCUUUGCAUCAGCUCCUGGAUUUAUAACCCAAUACAAGAAGAUUGGAGGAUAGUGUUCUGGAACACACUUGUUAUGUUAACGCCGUAAUUUUCUACACACAGCCUUGUUUAGGAGAACGCCAGCCAUGGGCAUCACCUACUACGCAGGAAGAUAUAGACAAAGAGGAAUAAGACUCCUAGGACUCACACAGAAUGAUACAGUGCUACAGUAGAAACUACGUGGUAAGGUCCAAUGGUUACAUGUUCCAGUAUCACGGUGGCAAGUUGGUUCUAGUCCUUGCUCUUUUGUUCCGUUUAAUUAGUGCGAAGCAAAGAGCGAAGGAAUACUUACCAACGUGUGGCUCAUAGUGAGACGCAAUAAUUCUACUUCAUCAUCCGACCGAGGCUAGGAGUAUGGCAGUUUGAAGGGCGUGAUCAACAAUUAUGACUUUUUAUACGAUCAGUAUCAUCUUCGAAGUAUGUCGACCUUAAUUAAGAAAAAAUAUGAACAUUUGGCUUCUAUGAACAAACGUAAGAUAAGUUUAAACUGAAGAAUAAAUCUAUAAUCAUUCUA